UGCAAGUCGAACGAGAAGCUAACUUCUGAUUCCUUCGGGAUGAUGAGGUUAGCAGAAAGUGGCGAACGGGUGAGUAACGCGUGGGUAAUCUACCCUGUUAAGUGGGGGAUAACCCUCCGAAAGGAGGGCUAAUACCGCAUAAUAUCUUUAUCCCAAAAGAGGUAAAGAUUAAAGAUGGCCUCUAUACUAUGCUAUCACUUCAGGAUGAGCCUGCGUCCUAUUAGUUAGUUGGUGGGGUAAUGGCCUACCAAGACCACAAUGGGUAGCCGGUCUGAGAGGAUGUACGGCCACACUGGGACUGAGAUACGGCCCAGACUCCUACGGGAGGCAGCAGUGGGGAAUAUUGCGCAAUGGGGGAAACCCUGACGCAGCGACGCCGCGUGGAUGAUGAAGGCCCUUGGGUUGUAAAAUCCUGUUCUGGGGGAAGAAAGCUUAAAGGUCCAAUAAACCCUUAAGCCUGACGGUACCCCAAGAGAAAGCUCCGGCUAAUUAUGUGCCAGCAGCCGCGGUAAUACAUAAGGAGCAAGCGUUAUCCGGAAUUAUUGGGCGUAAAGAGCUCGUAGGCGGUCUUAAAAGUCAGUUGUGAAAUUAUCAGGCUCAACCUGAUUAAGG
RNAcentral lists this ribosomal RNA (612 nucleotides) under uncultured Atribacterota bacterium. RNAcentral's name for it is "bacterial SSU rRNA". It matches the Rfam family "Bacterial small subunit ribosomal RNA", at positions 56 to 623 of the family's 1533-position model. The record is from RNAcentral. Lineage: Bacteria; Pseudomonadati; Atribacterota.